GGGCAGGAAGGAAAGCAGUUGUUAUGGCAACAUCUUUGGCAGCCUAUUUUGAGUCCUCCCCAGGUUCAAAACAACAGCUUCCAGCAGGUUCCCUUGAGGAAGAGGAACUCCAGCCCAGCAACUGCCCUUGGCCAAUCUCCUGCCAGAUUUCGGUGGCAAGAGGAAGGUGGCAGCCAAUGAGGAGGGCUGCAGCUUCUGUCAUCGGGCCCUGAGCCAGACUGGAAGAACCAGAAGGCAGGCGCACGUGACUGUUUCCAUGGUGACCUCCCUGAGCAACCUGACUGGUCCUGUUUUUGAGCACUGGAAAAUUCCACCCAGCCUCUGGCCUGAUUUUGUUAUUUUCUCUGCCUCCUUCCUGCUCCAAGGCCUGAUGAAUUCACUGCCAGUGGUUAACCCCUUCCUGAGAUGUGCCUGGCUCCAGUCAGAUCUGGGGGUCUGGGCAGGGGGGCUGUGUGCCCUGCACUGUGCUUAGUGCUGGAGUGGGGAGGGAAGGAAGCCCGAGACAUGGUAGUGACAGCCACCAUUUAUAGGACACGUUGUUCCAACCAGGCACCUUCCUAAGCUGCUGACAACCUCACAACCCUGAGAAGAGCGUACUACCCAGAUAAUUUCUAUUUCACUGAGGAAUAAACUUGAUUCAGAGAGGUUAUGUAACUUGCCAGCAUCAGGGAGAACAGCCAGCAAGUGGAGGAACCAGGCCAGACCUAGUGUGUGGACCCCUGGGGCCUCUCUCUCCGUGGCCCCUUUAUAACUCGCACAGUGUCAUAGAACCAGAUGGUAUUGGGGACAGGGUGCAGAGGAGGGAGAGAUCCAUGGUCUUGGGGGAGCUGAAGGAAGGUGACAUUUAGGCUGAGUGGAAGAACAGGGAAAGACCCGUGGGCUCCAGGACACCCAGGUUGCCAGGCUGGAGCUGGGGGCUGGUGAGCGAGGCCACACUGGCCCCAGGGAAGGCUGCGGCCAGGGCCCAGGGCCAAGUCCUCACCAUUUGGCCUCCAGAACUGGCCAUGCUGGGAUUCUGGCUGGGGGUGAGGAGGGAAGUCAAGCCUAUGAACAUUUCUACUGGACUCCGGCUGGGGAAGGGCUGGCUUGGGCUGGGGGUGGAGCUCAGAGCCAGCAGCAAGAACCGGGAGUGAGCCUCUCAGAGUCCCUAGUAGGGUCGCACAGAUUCGACUGUGUGGAUGCCACAUAAGCUGCAUGCAGAGCUGCUCUGAGCUGAGGCAGGGCUAUAGGAAGACUGAGACUCUGUUUUUAAGGAUGUCAAAUGACGAUGACAAAUAAUAAAUCAUGUGCCAAAGUUCAAGGUAACAGCACACAAGUCACCGAGUAGAGGGUGUGACCAUAGGAGUGCUGGUGAGGUCACUGGACCACGAGGGCCACAGGUAUCUGCAGGAUGGACUGACCAUCCAGCAGGGCGGGCUUCCUGCAGAAGGAAAAGGGCCCCUACCUGGUUCCUAAAGUGGGGGCUCCCACUGGCAGCGACAAUGGGCAUGUCCUUGGGGGAGAGGUGGUAGGAUGUCCCAGGCACUAGGGAUCUGCCAGCAAAUGGGGCUGGAAUAGAGGGGCACAACUGAUUGAGCUUUAUGGCCCCAGCUCAGGGUGGGGCAGUGGGUGAUAAAGAUCUGGGACACGUUGGGCUUCAGCUGAAGUCUUUGCCUAAGCAGAACAGUCAUGGAAAUCUCCACCUGGAGUCCCCUUGACCCUCAGAGGAGUGAGGGGACAUGUUAACAAACAAUCAUCCAGGAAAAAAUAGGCUGUGUUGUGACAGAGAGUAACUAUGGGGUGGUGAUGCACGACGACUUUGGAUAUGCUGGUCAGGGAGGCCCUUUCUGAGAAGUGACAUCCAGGCAGGGCGAUGAGAAUGAGUGUCAUCUGAAGAGUUGGGAGGGACAUUACAAGCAGAUGUGUCAUCAAGAGUAAAGAACAUGAGUCUGGAAAUGGCCAGGGCCUCUCUCAACUCAGAAGCCAUCCUUCUGCCCAAGGAGCAGAGUCCAAACUCCCUCUCCAGCCCGUUCAGGCCCUCCCAGACCUCACUCCGGUCUGCCCUUCCUGCUUCCCCUGCUUUCUAGGGAGUUCCCACCACCUGAGGAGCUUUACAGUCCAUUCCGCCUCAAUCACUGUAUGGCUCUCCUCUUACAUUAGCCCUGGAGAAGGACCCAUAAUGCUAUGGGCUUCUGUUUCUACCUGGUGUGUGCUGAGGAAAAGUUCCUGGAACUGAGUGAUCUCUGCCCCCUUGUUCUGCGAGACUUGUCUGUGGCAUGUGGGCCAUAGUUGUGUUGAGGAAGAAUAAAGAUGCUUCUGUGUGCAUGUAGAAGGUGUGAAAUGUUUAAUAAGCAUCAUCCUGCGCAUGUGGUGCUAACACAAACAUCCACGUGACACCUCAAGUGGGUGACUGCACAGAUGAGGGAUACAGGAAUGCGAUGACUCACCGGGAGGCCUCACUGUGGCUUCAGGCAAUUUCCGAAGGUCCACUCAGCAGGCCGUGGAGGGUGAGUAACUGGAGGCCCAGUACAGGUGAGGGCUGGGGGCAGCACCUCCCGCAGGGAGUCACCCAGACCAGUGACAGCGAGGCCUGGGCCUUGGGCUCCUCCACCCCGGAGGGUGAAUCUUCACCUGGAGCUCCGUGGGGAGGGAAGGCGGCCCUGGGGUUCCUCCCCCACCUUUGCGGAUCCCAGUCUGUCUGCGAGUCUGUCAGAGAGGAAGCGGCUCCCACUUUCCCACGCAGUUCCUCUCAAUGCGAUUUCACUCCAUCCCGAUGGGCAGGCGUUUGCGUCAAAUCUAAACGCAUUUUGUUCCCAUUGCAGCACUUCGGGUCUGCCUAGUCACUUCCUUCUCCCUUACUAACACCCUCCAAUACCUAAACGGCACGACAAACUGCUGAGAACCUCACAUCAUGACAAAGCUGAUUUUCACAAGUGUCUCUGGACCAGACAUUCCGGGAGGUGAACGCGUCGUCCCUCCGCAGCCCCUCCUGCGCUGGGUCAUCAGUGACGCUGCACUCAGGGGGUUCCACCACCCGCACUCUUUUCACUGUGCUGCUUGGGUUUUAAUUCUGAGAGCUACCAUUCCAGUUGGUUCACUUAGUCAGUACUCAAUAGACAUAAUGAGUUUCUAUUGUGUGCCAGGCACUAGGGAGACCAAGAAAGACCUCCUAGGCCUCAGUUUCCUCAUCCGUCUAAGGGGACAGCAGCAGCAUCUCCUUCACAGGGUGGUUGGAAGAACUGAAGGGAGACCAUGCACGGAAAAGGACGUAGCACAGUGCUCCACAAAUGCUACAGGAAAGAAGGCUUUCUGCUGGAUUUACUGUCCUGCAGACCCAGCAGGGACAAAGGAGGGACCCAGGAAAGCAUGGGAGACUCUGUUCUCUGCUGGGGAGAGGAGGACAGUAGAGUCUCCACUGAAGACUAACUGGGCCCAAGAGGAGGGCCCAAAAGGAGCGUGGACAGCCUGGGAAGGAAGGCCUAGGAGUGCUGGGGUGAAGCCAGUGAGGGGCCUCGCUGAGCUUGAAGCUGGGAGAGAUGGGGCCGAUGCAGCUCCUCUGGAGAGCCACCUUCCGCCCUUUGUCGUCACGCUGUCCUCCCACAACUAUGGUGCUACAGAUGGGCUUCCACAGCCAGGCCUUCUGGAAAGAUCCACAAACAGGCUGCAGGGCCCAGCGCCAAGGACAUCAUGUAGUGAAUAAUGUGCUGCAUAAACUAAAUUAUGAAUUUAUGUGGUGAAUAAACUAAAGAAGGGAACCGGCAGCAGGGAGCUCUCAGGCUGGGAGUGGGGAAUGUUCUUUCAAGAUAUUCCCCCCGCCCCCCACCCCCCACCCCCAGAGGAUUCUAUCUCACAAUGGUUCCUUCCUCUGAGUCUUAGAGGAGGCUCUAUGAGAAGAUGGAUGCCUCUCUCAGGAAGCUAAGAGGAAAGUGUUUCCCUCACUCUUCUGCCAAGUGAUGUUCGGUGCCUGUGAGGGACAGCCCCAGAGCUGCCUCUCCUUCCUGACAGCAUUUUGGGGAAGACCAACGACACAGCCACUUCUAGUUUCUGCAACUCGUUUUUGCUGGAAUUGCCCUCAGCUCUUGCCUGCUAAUGGUGCGUCUGCGGGGUUUCAGUGGUUGAUUUUAGACUUUCUCCAGGGUACAUUUUUAACUGUCCAAAAUCCCCUAGAAAACAACCAUCUCCCUUCCGUGUAAGAGCUCUGAGCUGCGUCAUCUCUGUGGGUUUCUUCCUGCCGCAGGAGCUGGCUGCUGUGCAAAGAGGAGGGAGCCGAAUGUGUGUGCGGUCAUUGUUCUAGAAAUGAGCUCUGGGAAGGACCCAAAUGAAGACUAGGUUUCAGACUGAGGCGCAGGGCAAGAGACAGAAUGCUGAAGCACCAGUGGAGAGAGCAGACGCAAUGGGACAUUCUGAAGCUAAAAGGACCAUGGAUGCAGGCCAGAGCAAAGAUGCCUUGAAAAAAUUUAGUUUUACGUAAAAGGGAUCCUGAGCUCAAAGAACUGAGAGGAGGGCACAUAAUCAAAUGUAUUAUUAAUCUCCUCACCAAAGAACAUGGUGACUUUAGGCUAUCUUG
Long non-coding RNA from Equus asinus (donkey), 4546 nucleotides. The record is from Ensembl. NCBI's taxonomy places the organism in Eukaryota, Metazoa, Chordata, Mammalia, Perissodactyla, Equidae.